AGUGUAUGCGACGAGGGAUUGUUCCUUUUAGUCGUAAAUAGAACGACUCUCGGCAACGGAUAUCUCGGCUCUCGCAUCGAUGAAGAACGUAGCGAAAUGCGAUACGUGGUGUGAAUUGCAGAAUCCCGUGAACCAUCGAGUUUUUGAACGCAAGU
RNAcentral lists this ribosomal RNA (155 nucleotides) under Garcinia macrophylla. Its description in RNAcentral is "5.8S ribosomal RNA". The stretch from base 45 to 155 matches the Rfam family "5.8S ribosomal RNA", at positions 1 to 111 of the family's 154-position model. From Rfam's summary of the family: 5.8S ribosomal RNA (5.8S rRNA) is a component of the large subunit of the eukaryotic ribosome. It is transcribed by RNA polymerase I as part of the 45S precursor that also contains 18S and 28S rRNA. Lineage: Eukaryota; Viridiplantae; Streptophyta; Magnoliopsida; Malpighiales; Clusiaceae. The record is from RNAcentral.